CGUGGGUAACCUGCCCAAGAGAUCGGGAUAACACCUGGAAACAGAUGCUAAUACCGGAUAACAACAGAUGAUGCCUAUCAACUGUUUAAAAGAUGGUUCUGCUAUCACUCUUGGAUGGACCUGCGGUGCAUUAGCUAGUUGGUGAGGUAACGGCCCACCAAGGCGACGAUCAGUAGCCGGCUUGAGAGAGUGUACGGCCACAUUGGGACUGAGACACGGCCCAGACUCCUACGGGAGGCAGCAGCC
RNAcentral lists this ribosomal RNA (246 nucleotides) under uncultured Lactobacillus sp. Its description in RNAcentral is "partial 16S ribosomal RNA". It matches the Rfam family "Bacterial small subunit ribosomal RNA", at positions 116 to 355 of the family's 1533-position model. The record is from RNAcentral. Lineage: Bacteria; Bacillati; Bacillota; Bacilli; Lactobacillales; Lactobacillaceae.